This 29-nucleotide transfer RNA is filed under the name Apis mellifera (honey bee). Its description in RNAcentral is "partial tRNA-Ser". The record is from RNAcentral. Lineage: Eukaryota; Metazoa; Arthropoda; Insecta; Hymenoptera; Apidae.
AGUUAAUGAACUUGAAUAAGUAUAUAUUU